GAAUGUUAAAUAGAUAGUCUAUGUUUGAUUACGGAUCAGAAAGGUGAACAUUUU
Molecule: transfer RNA, 54 nt
Filed under: Angiostrongylus cantonensis (rat lungworm)
Lineage: Eukaryota; Metazoa; Nematoda; Chromadorea; Rhabditida; Metastrongylidae
Description: tRNA-Arg
Source: RNAcentral